This 359-nucleotide ribosomal RNA is filed under the name Dendropsophus aff. minusculus AF-2012. Its description in RNAcentral is "partial 12S ribosomal RNA". The record is from RNAcentral. Lineage: Eukaryota; Metazoa; Chordata; Amphibia; Anura; Hylidae.
GAGAUCAGUUGUUACUUUAUAUACACAUGCAAGUCUCCGCACUCCUGUGAAAACGCCCUUAAGUCCCUAUAAUGGAUAAGGAGCUGGUAUCAGGCACAAAAAUUUAGCCCAAAACACCUAGCCAUGCCACACCCCCACGGGAACUCAGCAGUGAUUAACAUUGAAAAUAAGCGCCAGCCUGAAUCAGUUAAAGUUUAGAGAGCCGGCAAAUCUGGUGCCAGCCGCCGCGGUUACACCACGUGGCUCAAACUGACCUCUUCCGGCGUAAAGCGUGAUUAAAGUUAACCUUUUACUGCAAUUAAACUAGAACUAAGCUGUGACACGCUUAUUCCCAAGAAAACCAAACGAAAGUCAUUGCA